Molecule: ribosomal RNA, 450 nt
Filed under: uncultured bacterium
Lineage: Bacteria
Description: partial 16S ribosomal RNA
Rfam family: Bacterial small subunit ribosomal RNA
Source: RNAcentral
GUGGGGAAUAUUGGACAAUGGGCGAAAGCCUGAUCCAGCCAUGCCGCGUGUGUGAAGAAGGUCUUCGGAUUGUAAAGCACUUUAAGUUGGGAGGAAGGGCAGUAAGUUAAUACCUUGCUGUUUUGACGUUACCAACAGAAUAAGCACCGGCUAACUUCGUGCCAGCAGCCGCGGUAAUACGAAGGGUGCAAGCGUUAAUCGGAAUUACUGGGCGUAAAGCGCGCGUAGGUGGUUUUGUAAGUUGGAGGUGAAAUCCCCGGGCUCAACCUGGGAACUGCCUCCAAAACUACAUGACUAGAGUACGGUAGAGGGUAGUGGAAUUUCCUGUGUAGCGGUGAAAUGCGUAGAUAUAGGAAGGAACACCAGUGGCGAAGGCGACUACCUGGACUGAUACUGACACUGAGGUGCGAAAGCGUGGGGAGCAAACAGGAUUAGAAACCCCUGUAGUCC